ACUCCUACGGGAGGCAGCAGUGGGGAAUAUUGCACAAUGGGCGCAAGCCUGAUGCAGCCAUGCCGCGUGUGUGAAGAAGGCCUUCGGGUUGUAAAGCACUUUCAGUCGUGAGGAAGGUAGUGUAGUUAAUAGCUGCAUUAUUUGUACGUUAGCGACAGAAGAAGCACCGGCUAACUCCGUGCCAGCAGCCGCGGUAAUACGGAGGGUGCGAGCGUUAAUCGGAAUUACUGGGCGUAAAGCGCAUGCAGGUGGUUUGUUAAGUCAGAUGUGAAAGCCCGGGGCUCAACCUCGGAAUAGCAUUUGAAACUGGCAGACUAGAGUACUGUAGAGGGGGUAGGAAUUUCAGGUGUAGCGGUGAAAUGCGUAGAGAUCUGAAGGAUACCGGUGGCGAAGCGGCCCCUGGACAGAUACUGACACUCAGAUGCGAAAGCGUGGGAGCAAACAGGAUUAGAUACCCCGUGUAGGAUAGCG
Molecule: ribosomal RNA, 471 nt
Filed under: uncultured bacterium
Lineage: Bacteria
Description: bacterial SSU rRNA
Rfam family: Bacterial small subunit ribosomal RNA
Source: RNAcentral